This 205-nucleotide ribosomal RNA is filed under the name uncultured bacterium. RNAcentral describes it as "partial 16S ribosomal RNA". It matches the Rfam family "Bacterial small subunit ribosomal RNA", at positions 568 to 774 of the family's 1533-position model. The record is from RNAcentral.
UGCGUAGGUGGUUUCUUAAGUCAGAGGUGAAAGGCUACGGCUCAACCGUAGUAAGCCUUUGAAACUGGGAAACUUGAGUGCAGGAGAGGAGAGUGGAAUUCCAUGUGUAGCGGUGAAAUGCGUAGAUAUAUGGAGGAACACCGGUGGCGAAAGCGGCUCUCUGGCCUGUAACUGACACUGAGGCUCGAAAGCGUGGGAGCAAACA